Long non-coding RNA from Daucus carota subsp. sativus, 333 nucleotides. RefSeq lists it as uncharacterized. Lineage: Eukaryota; Viridiplantae; Streptophyta; Magnoliopsida; Apiales; Apiaceae. The transcript has 3 exons. The record is from RefSeq and is a predicted model, not a curated record.
UCUUGCCAAAGCAGCAGAUCCAGAUAUUUUUGGUGUUAUGGCCAUGGCUUUCCACACUACAGGUUUGUCUUGAACAUUUUUAAAAACGGAAGGAUUGCUCCAUACUGAUUCAAAGCUGAAAGAAAAAGAUCGAAGAACAGUUUUCCUCCGGUACCCGUGAUGAUUGUAUGCCGUUCUUGGAUGAUAGUGGUGGAGGUGGUGACUUAAUUAGUGCGAGUGGAUGCGCGAGUGGAAGGAAGAAGUGGGACCUCUUACGGGUGUUUUCUUAUCGAACAUUAAAAUUUUAUUGUCUAAGUGUCCCCGGUCAUCUUUGCAUGUCCGAGGAUUAGAUGG